UUUAGAGAUGAACUACUAUAAAUUUAAUAAGAAAAUGUUUAAAUGAACCCAAGAGUGGGGGUGUUUUCAAAUGAGAAAUACCCCUCACUAUCAUUUUAAAUAAAGGUUGUUAAAUUUGUGGUUUAUAGGUUUUUGUCUGAUUGCCUUAUUAAUGAAUACUCUCCACUUGGAUUUUCACAUAAUACUGAAUACCCAGUCAGUGUUUGUCAAUAUUUUCUUGAAUAUCACACAGUGAUAUUCCUUGAAUGCUUUAACUCAUUGUCUGACACUCCUAAUAGUCAUUGAAUGUGAGUCCUUAUAUAAGGGUUUUCCUAAGAGAAGUAGAAUAUAAAUGUAAUAAAACUUGGUAAUGUCUCCCAUACCAUUGCAUUCUACUUUCUUCCAAUACUACAUCUGCUUUGGAGAGUUAUAAAUGAUAAAGAUGAGACUCAGUUAUAUCUGCUUUGUUUUUCCUUGAAACUAGCAGCAACUAUAGAAAAAAAUGGAAAUGCUUCUAUUCAAUUAAAGACAAAGUAACAAAGAACUCUGGUGAUCUUGAUAAAAGAAAAAUUUAUUUUUAUCUAUGAAAUCAAAUGAUUCUAUACUAAUGAAAUAGCUUUGAGGAAAAACCAUGCAGAUUUCUUGCCCAAGGCACAAAACUGAAAGACGUGUCAAAUAAUUUUAGUCAUUAAUAUAAAUAGGAUUUUAAUGCAACAUUUUGGAGACUCCAUAUUAAUUCCAGAAUUCACACACUGAGCAAGAUAAUGAUUAUUCCUUUCCUUUUCCUUUUCCUUUUCCUUUGCCCAGGGCACUAUUAUGCCUUUGUAUGACCUUGAUUGCUAAUAUUAAGAAGAAAAUUAUUUAAGAAAAGAUUUUUGUAAGUUGAUUAAGGUGUGAGUGAGAAUUUGGGACAAACAAUAAUGUCCAGAUUUCACCAACCAAUGAGAUGUGUAGUGAACCAUAGUAACAUUGUCCACUGUGAGAGGAAGACUUAGUUCCAACUAUAGAAUAAGAUCAUAUUGCUAGAAACCUGUGUUCUUUGGUUAUUGCUAAAUGUAAUUAUAUUUCUACUAGUAACAAACUAUAUGAGGUUGUAAAAAAUUUAAUUCAUAUAUUUCAAUACUUGGUUACAUUUUCAAUUAUUUUGUGUAGACCUCAUCUGGCUCUCAAAUUCAUUCUUAUGGGCUUUUCUUUAAUUGUUUUUCUAUAAAUGUUGUUAGCUAAGUGAGCCUUUCUGAACCUCCCCUCCAUAUCCCAUAAGUUCCUAGAUCUACUUCAAACCUCAUAUCCAGGUCACUCUUCUAGCCCAGCCUUCCAUUUUUGUGCCACCCAUCACCUUUUGGCUUCAUCCAGGAUGUCAUUGCCUAUCCACAACAACAACAACAACCUCCUCUCAUACCAUAUCUAGUGAUUCUUUCCAGCUGUGUCACUGACUAUUUGUCCAAUGGCCCAGCUUGGUUGAAUCUGCCUGUUCUUCUUCUACAUAUACCCUUUCCAAACCCCAUAUAUACCUUCAAACUCAAAGUUUAGACCAGGAUUCACAAGUUUGCCAAAAGCUUAGCCCCAUGAGUCCACCUGGCUAUCUUCAAUCUAAGCCACAUCCAAUAUUCAGCCCCUAUCUGACCAGAAUACCUGUCCUCUGUCCAAGCCAACUGUGUCCAGAUCAGACACAGAACUUAAAUAAGAAGUUCACAUGCAUAAUUCUCAUCACAAAAAUAUAAACAAUGUGGAAGAUCAAAAUCAAGGCAAGUUUUCAUCACC
Molecule: long non-coding RNA, 1740 nt
Filed under: Mus musculus (house mouse)
Lineage: Eukaryota; Metazoa; Chordata; Mammalia; Rodentia; Muridae
Description: long non-coding RNA chr2:96476573-96478313
Source: RNAcentral